CGGAAGCAGAAAGAAACACCACAAUAAUGUGCUUGACUGCCAAAAGACAGAGAAGAUCUACCCCAAACAUAGACCAUUGCAAGUGCAGAAGUCACACGACGUGGUGAGAACUUGAUGUCUGCCUUUCACUCGCACGGACUGAAAUGUCUAGACAUCCAAAUUAAGGAGUGACCAAUCACCAACAGACCGAUCCCUCUGCGUACAAGGAAGAAUGAGACGCUGCAGACAACAGGCCUUAACAGUAAUGGCACCACUUCAAAGGACCUGACUUGCCUUCAACUACAACGUGACUUCUCAGGCAAUCAACACACCCUGUGAAGAGCACGUAGCUUAAUCACAUGUGAACUUACAUUUUACUUCUUCCUCUUUUCUUAAAAAGCGUUUAACAACUCACUAAAGUCCUAAUUGGCCUACUGGAAGUUUAAACUUCUGAUUUUGCCUGUCUACAGGAGAAAGCUUAUUCACAAAUAAAA
Molecule: long non-coding RNA, 473 nt
Organism: Columba livia (rock pigeon)
Lineage: Eukaryota; Metazoa; Chordata; Aves; Columbiformes; Columbidae
Exons: 3
Source: RefSeq, a predicted model, not a curated record